UACGAAGGUGGCUAGCUUUGCUCGGAAUGACUGGGCGUAAAGGGCGCGUAGGCGGUUCACACAGUCAGGCGUGAAAUUCCUGGGCUUAACCUGGGGGCUGCGUUUGAAACGUGUGGACUUGAGGAUGGAAGAGGCUCGUGGAAUUCCCAGUGUAGAGGUGAAAUUCGUAGAUAUUGGGAAGAACACCGGUGGCGAAGGCGGCGAGCUGGUCCAUUACUGAAGCUGAGGCGCGAAAGCGUGGGGAGCAAACAGGAGGAGAUAACCCCGUAGUCC
This 273-nucleotide ribosomal RNA is filed under the name uncultured bacterium. RNAcentral's name for it is "partial 16S ribosomal RNA". It matches the Rfam family "Bacterial small subunit ribosomal RNA", at positions 524 to 796 of the family's 1533-position model. The record is from RNAcentral.